AGACCCGAAACCCGGUGAUCUAGCCAUGGGCAGGUUGAAGGUUGGGUAACACUAACUGGAGGACCGAACCGACUAAUGUUGAAAAAUUAGCGGAUGACCUGUGGCUGGGGGUGAAAGGCCAAUCAAACCGGGAGAUAGCUGGUUCUCCCCGAAAGCUAUUUAGGUAGCGCCUCGUGAAUUCAUCUCCGGGGGUAGAGCACUGUUUCGGCUAGGGGGCCAUCCCGGCUUACCAACCCGAUGCAAACUGCGAAUACCGGAGAAUGUUAUCACGGGAGACACACGGCGGGUGCUAACGUCCGUCGUGAAGAGGGAAACAACCCAGACCGCCAGCUAAGGUCCCAAAGUCAUGGUUAAGUGGGAAACGAUGUGGGAAGGCCCAGACAGCCAGGAUGUUGGCUUAGAAGCAGCCAUCAUUUAAAGAAAGCGUAAUAGCUCACUGGUCGAGUCGGCCUGCGCGGAAGAUGUAACGGGGCUAAACCAUGCACCGAAGCUGCGGCAGCGACGCUUAUGCGUUGUUGGGUAGGGGAGCGUUCUGUAAGCCUGUGAAGGUGGCCUGUGAGGGUUGCUGGAGGUAUCAGAAGUGCGAAUGCUGACAUAAGUAACGAUAAAGCGGGUGAAAAGCCCGCUCGCCGGAAGACCAAGGGUUCCUGUCCAACGUUAAUCGGGGCAGGGUGAGUCGACCCCUAAGGCGAGGCCGAAAGGCGUAGUCGAUGGGAAACGGGUUAAUAUUCCCGUACUUGGUGUUACUGCGAAGGGGGGACGGAGAAGGCUAUGUUGGCCGGGCGACGGUUGUCCCGGUUUAAGCGUGUAGGUGUGUGUUCCAGGUAAAUCCGGUUCACUUUAACACUGAGGCGUGA
Molecule: ribosomal RNA, 857 nt
Filed under: Salmonella enterica
Lineage: Bacteria; Pseudomonadati; Pseudomonadota; Gammaproteobacteria; Enterobacterales; Enterobacteriaceae
Also listed under: 3 other names
Description: partial 23S ribosomal RNA
Rfam family: Bacterial large subunit ribosomal RNA
Source: RNAcentral